This 484-nucleotide ribosomal RNA is filed under the name uncultured bacterium. RNAcentral describes it as "partial 16S ribosomal RNA". It matches the Rfam family "Bacterial small subunit ribosomal RNA", at positions 28 to 523 of the family's 1533-position model. The record is from RNAcentral.
GACGAACGCUGGCGGCGUGCUUAACACAUGCAAGUCGAACGAUGAAGCCGGAGCUUGCUCUGGUGAAUUAGUGGCGAACGGGUGAGUAACACGUGAGUAACCUGCCCUUGACUCUGGGAUAACUGCGGGAAACUGUAGCUAAUACCGGAUACGACCCUCGGAGGCAUCUCCUGGGGGUGGAAAGAAUUUCGGUCAAGGAUGGACUCGCGGCCUAUCAGCUAGUUGGGGAGGUAAGGGCUCACCAAGGCGACGACGGGUAGCCGGCCUGAGAGGGUGGCCGGCCACACUGGGACUGAGACACGGCCCAGACUCCUACGGGAGGCAGCAGUGGGGAAUAGUGCACAAUGGGCGCAAGCCUGAUGCAGCAACGCCGCGUGAGGGAUGAUGGCCUUCGGGUUGUAAACCUCUUUUAGCAGGGAAGAAGCGAAAGUGACGGUACCUGCAGAAAAAGCACCGGCUAACUACGUGCCAGCAGCCGCCGUAA